RNAcentral lists this long non-coding RNA (387 nucleotides) under Mus musculus (house mouse). Its description in RNAcentral is "long non-coding RNA chr9:65185467-65185854". The record is from RNAcentral. Lineage: Eukaryota; Metazoa; Chordata; Mammalia; Rodentia; Muridae.
AGGCAUCUCCCUGCUCGAGCCAAUGUCCCCUCACCAAUGCCUGCUGCCCAUAGGACUUAGGAAACAAACGUUUUCCUUUAAAAAAAAAUCAAAAUUUAAAAGUCAAAAAAGGAAGAUGAAAGAAGAGAGAGAGAGAGAAGAAGUGAAUUAUACUCCAAAAAUAUGUCCCUGCUGUGGCCCGGCCCCUGACGCUGUCACCCUGCUCGGACCUUGUUUUCUCAGGAUGGAUUUUGAGCUGUUGUGACUCUCAGCACCUACCUCAGCCGGAAUGAAUGUCCUUGGGGGUAGUGGGGCAGUAGCCUCCGCCUCUACCCCACAGAGCCCGAAAGCACUCCUACCUCAAGCCCCUUAAUGGGGGCCCCUCCCACCUAUAUUGCUGCCCAGAGU